RNAcentral lists this ribosomal RNA (301 nucleotides) under uncultured bacterium. RNAcentral's name for it is "partial 16S ribosomal RNA". It matches the Rfam family "Bacterial small subunit ribosomal RNA", at positions 509 to 807 of the family's 1533-position model. The record is from RNAcentral.
CAGCCGCCGCGGUAAUACGGAGGGUGCAAGCGUUAAUCGGAAUUACUGGGCGUAAAGCGCACGUAGGCGGCUUGGUAAGUUAGAGGUGAAAGCCCGGAGCUCAACUCCGGAAUUGCCUUUAAGACUGCCGAGCUAGUAGGUGAGAGAGGUAAGUGGAAUUCCGAGUGUAGAGGUGAAAUUCGUAGAUAUUCGGAAGAACACCAGUGGCGAAGGCGGCUUACUGGCUCAUUCUAGACGCUGAGGUGCGAAAGCGUGGGGAGCAAACAGGAUUAGAUACCCCCGUAGUCCCUGUCUCUUAUAC